RNAcentral lists this transfer RNA (74 nucleotides) under Vicugna pacos (alpaca). Its description in RNAcentral is "tRNA-Und (NNN) (tRNA-Und-NNN-58-1)". It matches the Rfam family "tRNA". From Rfam's summary of the family: Transfer RNA (tRNA) molecules are approximately 80 nucleotides in length. The record is from RNAcentral. Lineage: Eukaryota; Metazoa; Chordata; Mammalia; Artiodactyla; Camelidae.
GGAGGGUAUAGCUCAGUGGUAGAGUGCAUGCUUUCGCAUGCAUGAGGUCAUGGGUUUGAUCCCCAGUACCUCCG